Molecule: non-coding RNA, 30 nt
Filed under: Mus musculus (house mouse)
Lineage: Eukaryota; Metazoa; Chordata; Mammalia; Rodentia; Muridae
Source: RNAcentral
UGCUCAGGCAAGCAAGUCCACCACAAUUAU